RNAcentral lists this ribosomal RNA (393 nucleotides) under uncultured bacterium. RNAcentral describes it as "bacterial SSU rRNA". It matches the Rfam family "Bacterial small subunit ribosomal RNA", at positions 618 to 1007 of the family's 1533-position model. The record is from RNAcentral.
AGCCUGCAGUGGGUACGGGCAGACUAGAGUGCGGUAGGGGAGAACGGAAUUCCUGGUGUAGCGGUGGAAUGCGCAGAUAUCAGGAGGAACACCGAUGGCGAAGGCAGUUCUCUGGGCCGUUACUGACGCUGAGGAGCGAAAGCGUGGGGAGCGAACAGGAUUAGAUACCCUGGUAGUCCACGCCGUAAACGGUGGGUGCUAGCUGUGGGCCACAUUCCACGUGGUCCGUGACGAAGUUAACACAUUAAGCACCCCGCCUGGGGAGUACGGCCGCAAGGCUAAAACUCAAAGGAAUUGACGGGGGCCCGCACAAGCGGCGGAGCAUGCGGAUUAAUUCGAUGCAACGCGAAGAACCUUACCAAGGCUUGACAUAUAGAGGAAAAGUGCAGAAAU